Cyprinodon tularosa is the source of this 2215-nucleotide long non-coding RNA. RefSeq lists it as uncharacterized. NCBI's taxonomy places the organism in Eukaryota, Metazoa, Chordata, Actinopteri, Cyprinodontiformes, Cyprinodontidae. The transcript is spliced from 3 exons. The record is from RefSeq and is a predicted model, not a curated record.
UGAUGCCAAAAAGCGCCCAACAAAUUUUACUUUCACAAGUGUAGCAGUAUGGCAAUUGCCGUAUUGCUCCACUUGUUUCAUGCAUAUAAAUGUUGGGAUCCGGAGGCUUGUCCACCAGAAGGCGCCGAAGAUCUUCCUGCUGAGGGUAUGAGCUCACCUCCACACACCUGUUUCCUGUCUCCUCAUCAAGAGGACUUCUACUUAAGGAGAAGGAGACUGACACUCCUCUGCCAGAGUGUUUGCCAGCAAUGAUCCUGACUUACCUGAAACCUUGGAGAUUGAAAUCUCACCCUGGAAUCUGCCUCCCUGCCUCAGUCUCAUUCUCUGCCUCUGCCCUCAGCCCUCAGUCUGCCAGCAAGCCUCCGGACUCACAAGAUUCCCCCCUGCUGAUCAGAACCCUCUCAGAACAGGCACUCUAUUCUGACAUCUCAAAACUGCAAGUUUCCUGCAUCCUGUCUAAAAGCUCUGUCCUCCUCAGUGGUGAUUCCCUGUGACCGGUCCAAAGAACCAGAACCAGUUCAUCAUUCUAUCAUUGUACAUAUUGUAAAUAAAACCUUUGAACUUUUUCCCUGACUCUAAGUGUGUUUCUGCAUGUGGGUUAGACGCCUAGAACCCAUCAUGACAGAACACUCUGGCCAACAAACUAGCCCAGCGGAAGCACUCAGGAGGACCUUGGAACAACAACAAGUCCUCAUUCAGAGCCAUGACUCCGCCCUCCGUGAGUUAAGUGAACACCAAGCUGAAGCCAACCGCACCCUGCAGGAAAUUACUAACUUUCUCCAUAGAUCCAGCUCUCAGACUGUUACACCAGUGGUUGAAGCCGUUCAGCUUCCCGUUCAGGAUUCCAAUCCACCUCUCAGGUCAGAGAUCCACAUGUCAUUUCCUGAAUUCCGGCCAUCUCUCCCCGAAAGAUUUUCUGGAGACCCAAGUAAGUGCAGAGGAUUUUUGUUCCAGUGUUCAAUAAUUUUCAAUCAUUCACCUCUGAGUUUUGUGCAAGAUGGAAGAAGGAUUUCUUUUAUUUUGUCCCAUCUGUCUGGGAAAGCCUUGGAGUGGGCGGAAGCUAAAUUCUCGUCCAAGAUUGAGUACGGUUGUACUUAUGACAGUUUCAUUGAAGAAUUUAAACAAGCAUUUAAUCAAGAUUCUGAUAAGACCCCGAUUCCCGUGAUUUGCUGGAAUUAAAGCAAGGAAACAGAACAGUGAUCGAAUUUUCGAUCGACUUCCGGAUCAAAGCGGCCGCUUCUGGUUGGGAUGAAACGGCACUAAAGAGCGCUUAUUUUUAUCUCUAGAUGAACCUCUAACCUUGGAGGAUUUGAUCAAACUGACAAUCCGCCUAGAUAACAGAAGCAGAACCCAUGCAGAUUGGUCACACCAGACUCUCAGCUGAAGAGAAACAAAGGAGAUACAAACAAAACCUCUGCCUGUAUUGUGGUGAACCUGGACAUUUUGUGUCAACCUGUCUCGCUAAGGUAAAAGCCAGGGUCCGCCAGAGGAAAUGAGGAGUCUGGCGGACCAUCUACAAACUAAAAAAACUCCUCGACUGCUAUUACCUGCUACUCUGUUUUUUGAAGAUCAAUCCCUCACAUUGUCGGCCAUGAUUGAUUCAGACUGUGAGAGAAAUCUGAUCGAUUCUAGUUUGGUCCAACAACUUAAUCUUGACACCACCCCGUUGAUCAAACCCCUGAGAGUCUCCGCCUUGGAUGAUAAACAACUACCUCAGAUUACGCAUCAGAACAAACCGUUAGAGCUAUUAAUCUCCGGCAACCAUAGAGAGAUCAUCUCAUUUUUUGUUUUUCCCUCUGCUAGCUCAUCCACUGUUCUAGGUUUUGAUUGGCUACAACUCCACAACCCACAUAUUAACUGGUCUAAAAGACAUGUGGAGUCCUGGUCUAUCCCCUGUCAUAGUUCCUGUCUCCGCCCCGCCGCUCUUCCGAGUCUGCCACCGGCAAACCGUCAGGAGGUUGACCCGCCAGAUCUCUCAGCUGUUCCUCCAGAUUAUCACGAUUUGGCUCCGGUUUUCAGUAAGGCUAGAGCCCUUUCUCUCCCUCCACACCGUCCUUAUGACUGCGCCAUCGAUCUUCUCCCUGGGGCCCCUCUCCAUAACAGUCGGCUCUAUAACAUCUCCAAACCCGAGCGGGAAACUAUGGAGAAAUAUAUCAAUGAGUCCCUAGCCGCUGGAAUCAUCCGACCAUCUUCUUCUCCACUCGGAGCCGGGUUG